This 64-nucleotide transfer RNA is filed under the name Lepeophtheirus salmonis (salmon louse). Its description in RNAcentral is "tRNA-Asp". Lineage: Eukaryota; Metazoa; Arthropoda; Copepoda; Siphonostomatoida; Caligidae. The record is from RNAcentral.
AGGUUAGUAAUUUAUAUAAAAUAUUAGCUUGUCAAGCCAAAAAAAAGGAACUCCUUUUAGCCUG